This 256-nucleotide unclassified non-coding RNA is filed under the name Bombus terrestris (buff-tailed bumblebee). RNAcentral's name for it is "misc RNA ENSBTSG00005034120.1". The record is from RNAcentral. Lineage: Eukaryota; Metazoa; Arthropoda; Insecta; Hymenoptera; Apidae.
AGUGGCCUAUAUUGUACAAUAUCUGUCGUCGUGCCUGUUCGGCUCGUGCUUCCUGGUCCAUCAUGUUGUUCAGCAUUUCCAGCUUCCUCUGCAGAUCGGCCGCCUCCGUGUUCUCGGGGUCUUUCGAAAAGCGAACGGAAGCUCCAAACGGCAGUCUAUGAGAAGCGAGUGGCCAGUUGGCUUUUUCGUGCCGAUAAUCUCGGCGCCUCUCAUCUCGAGCUCCGAAUCGAGACUGACCCAUUGUCCGGAACCUUCC